GCCUACGGGACGCAGCAGUGGGGAAUAUUGCACAAUGGGGGGAACCCUGAUGCAGCGACGCCGCGUGAGCGAAGAAGUAUUUCGGUAUGUAAAGCUCUAUCAGCAGGGAAGAAAAUGACGGUACCUGACUAAGAAGCCCCGGCUAACUACGUGCCAGCAGCCGCGGUAAUACGUAGGGGGCAAGCGUUAUCCGGAUUUACUGGGUGUAAAGGGAGCGCAGGCGGCGCGGUAAGUCUGAUGUGAAAGCCCGGGGCUCAACCCCGGGACUGCUUUUGAAACUGUGUUGCUAGAUUGCAGGAGAGGUA
RNAcentral lists this ribosomal RNA (305 nucleotides) under uncultured bacterium. RNAcentral's name for it is "bacterial SSU rRNA". It matches the Rfam family "Bacterial small subunit ribosomal RNA", at positions 337 to 659 of the family's 1533-position model. The record is from RNAcentral.